AACAAACAAACCCCAAAAAGCACCGAUCGCACCAAAGCAAUCGGUAAGCAAACCAAGAUCUUUAGCGACUCAUAAGCUCCUUCAAUAUUGGGCGUAUUGUUCCGGAAUGGAUCAAUCGUGGACGGUGCGUGCACGGUCAGCCCAUCUGACCCGAGAAACUCGAACGGGUUGCGAUAAUUCUGGUUUAGGUGUGAAAUGUGAUUGUUGUUAUUGCUGCUGUUGUGGUGGUGAUUAUGAGAUAGGGUUGAAGAGGAUCGUUGACCGGAGUCGUUAUCGCGAACUGUAAGGACAAGAUGGGGUUGAUCGGAGGGUUGAGGCGGGAUAAGCGGGGAGGAGAGAUCAUAGUCCGCCAUUGACAUAGUUUGAAUGGAAGGUAAAGAGGAGGAUCAGGGGAUAUGGUAAAGAGAAGGGAAGAAUGCUUUUCCACUAUUUUCGGGAGGCAGUGGAGCCACACAGCAAGGGGCAAGGAGCGCUGCUGUAAUGGAUAUUUAAUAUUUUGGCCACGUGCUUUCAAUCCUGUCCACUUCAUUUAAAUAGUCUCCCAUUUUCUGUUUUUGUUUUCCAUUUCUUCAAAUUGAUACCUUAUUUAAAAUUAAAAAAAUAAAACAAAUUUAGAAUUGCCAGAAUAUUAGCGAAAAAAUGAGGUCGGCAGCAGAAAGAAAAGCCGCUUAAUGGGAGUCAUUUCAGAUAAAACGACUAACAAGCAAGGACCCCAUCAAGUUUCGGUCGGAGGGCGUGCGCUACGCGUGGUACUCAUCAUGACCACAGCUACAAUGACACCCAGACACUAACACUAUAUUUGAAUAAAUUUUAGGAGAGAGAAUGAAAAUAAAAGAAGAAAUAUAUUUUUUACUUUUUUUUAUAUUUAAAUGAGUAAAAAAUAGAAUAAAAAUUAAU
Molecule: unclassified non-coding RNA, 897 nt
Filed under: Hevea brasiliensis (rubber tree)
Lineage: Eukaryota; Viridiplantae; Streptophyta; Magnoliopsida; Malpighiales; Euphorbiaceae
Source: RNAcentral